This 1264-nucleotide ribosomal RNA is filed under the name Eoscarta assimilis. Its description in RNAcentral is "16S ribosomal RNA". The stretch from base 1020 to 1179 matches the Rfam family "Archaeal large subunit ribosomal RNA", at positions 2544 to 2703 of the family's 2987-position model. Lineage: Eukaryota; Metazoa; Arthropoda; Insecta; Hemiptera; Cercopidae. The record is from RNAcentral.
UUAAUAAUUUAUUUGAGUUUUUUUUUUUUUUAUUAAUGAAAGUAUUUAUUCAAAAUUUUAGUAUUAUUUAGAAAUAAUAUUUUAUUCAAUAGUUAAUUUGUACCUAAAGGGAUUAAUAGUUUAUUUUAUUUAUUAAAAGUAUAUUUUUUAUAUUACCUUUUGUAUCAGGGUUAAUUAAUUUAUUUUAAUUUAUUUUAUUUUCUCGAAUAUAGAGGAUUUAAUUGUAAAGUGUUAGUUAAUGUUGUAUAAUUAUUAAUAAUUUACUUUUAGUAGUGAAAUGUUAUUCGUCUUUAUUGAUAUCUAGUUUCUUAAGAUUAAAUUUAAUUUUGUGUUAUUUAGUUUUUUAUAUUUUUUUUUAUAAAUUAUUUUUUAGUAUUAUUUUAUUGGGGAUAAUCUCAAUAUAUUGUAAAAAUUUUUUUGUUAAGUAAUUUUUAUAGGCUUAGAAUUAGCAUUUAUUUAAUUAUGUAAUUAUUUAUUUUAUGAGGUUAUUAUAUUUAUUUUGAUUUUAUUUUUUAUUAAGAUUAUUAUUUUAAUAAUUUUUUAAUUUAAUAAUGAUUAAAUUAGUAUAAUAAUUAAGUAUUAAUAUUAGGAAUUUGGCAAAAAUUGUUUUCACCUGUUUAUCAAAAACAUGGUUUUUAGUAUUUAUAUUAAAGAUCUAAUCUGCUCAAUGAUAUUAAUUUAAUAGCCGCGGUAUAUUAACUGUGCAAAGGUAGCAUAAUAAUUAGUCUUUUAAUUGGAGUCUGGAAUGAAUGAUUUGAUGAAAAAUUAUCUUUCUUUAUUAUUUAUUUUGAAUUUAAUUUUUGAGUGAAAAAGCUUAAAUAAUUUUAAGGGACGAUAAGACCCUAUAGAGCUUAAUAAAUUUUUUAUUUUUUUAUUAUUUUGGUUUAUUUAUAUAUUAUAAUUUACUAAAGUUUUUUAUUGGGGUGAUAAAAUUAAUUAAAAUAACUUUAUUUAUUUAUUUCAUUGAUUUAUGUUUUUUUGAUCUAAUAUUAUUGAUUAUAAGAAUUAGUUACCUUAGGGAUAACAGCGUAAUUUUUUUGUAGAGUUCAUAUCGAUAGAGAAUUUUGCGACCUCGAUGUUGGAUUAAGAUUAAAUUAGGGGGUAGGUUUUCUUAAUUUUAAGUCUGUUCGACUUUUUAAUUCUUACAUGAUCUGAGUUCAGACCGGCGUGAGCCAGGUUGGUUUCUAUCUUUAAAUUUUGUAUUUACCUUAGUACGAAAGGACCAGUUGUAAUUAAUUUAAAAUUUUUUUUUGAAUUUUAUUAA